GUGCUUGCUUCGGCAGCACAUAUACUAAAAUUGGAAUAUGAUACAGAGAAGACUAGCAUGGUCCCUGUGCAAGGAUGACACACAAAUUCGUGAAGCGGUCCGUAUUUUU
RNAcentral lists this small nuclear RNA (109 nucleotides) under Balaenoptera musculus (blue whale). The record is from RNAcentral. Lineage: Eukaryota; Metazoa; Chordata; Mammalia; Artiodactyla; Balaenopteridae.